Molecule: small nuclear RNA, 103 nt
Filed under: Cricetulus griseus (Chinese hamster)
Lineage: Eukaryota; Metazoa; Chordata; Mammalia; Rodentia; Cricetidae
Source: RNAcentral
AAAAAAGUAUAGAAUUUCCUGAAUUUGUGUGCUAUCCAUUUGCAGGGGCCAUGCUAAUCUCUGUAUCAUUCCAAUUUUAGCAUACACCAAUUUUAGUAUAUGU